Molecule: ribosomal RNA, 502 nt
Filed under: uncultured bacterium
Lineage: Bacteria
Description: partial 16S ribosomal RNA
Rfam family: Bacterial small subunit ribosomal RNA
Source: RNAcentral
AUUGAACGCUGGCGGUAUGCUUAACAUAUGCAAGUCGAACGGCAGCACGGUAUGUAGCAAUACAUAUGGGUGGCAAGUGGCGGACGGGUGAGUAACGCGUAGGAACCUGCCCUCAAGCGGGGGACAACCCGAGGAAACUCGGGCUAAUACCGCAUAAACUCGGAAGAGAAAAGCUGGGGUAACCUGGCACUUGAGGAGGAGCCUGCGUCUGAUUAGCUAGUUGGUAGGGUAAAGGCCUACCAAGGCGAUGAUCAGUAGCUGGUCUGAGAGGAUGACCAGCCACACUGGAAAUGAGACACGGUCCAGACUCCUACGGGAGGAAGCAGUGGAGAAUAUUGGACGAUGGGGGAAACCCUGAUCCAGCAAUACCGCGUGUGUGAAGAAGGCCUUCGGGUUGUAAAGCACUUUAGUGGGGGAGGAAGGUUAGCAGUUUAAGAGAUGGCUAAUUUGACUGUACCCAAAGAAUAAGCACCGGCCAACUCUGUGCCAGCAGCCGCGGUAA